Molecule: long non-coding RNA, 1483 nt
Filed under: Bos grunniens (domestic yak)
Lineage: Eukaryota; Metazoa; Chordata; Mammalia; Artiodactyla; Bovidae
Description: lncRNA (ENSBGRG00000007733.1)
Source: RNAcentral
UCGGGUUAGACUUUUGUUUACUUGACCUAGAACUUCUCUGCUUACACAGAUGAAGUAAGAAUCCAACAGGCUUCCUAUCCGUCUCACUCCCAGGAAGACCAAGGCCAUGGUCUGAGCCAGGUGGCCUGCUUCCUUGCUGUCCACCGUGGUGACCAUACCCCUCUCGCCCUGGAGCCAACCACCCCAGGAGCCAGUCACUCCCAUGGCACUCCGUUUUCCAGACUGAGUGGCCGUGGCUCCCACUAUAAGUUCUGGCCCACAGAGGAGUGAUUGGAGCCCUUCAGGGGUGCCAGGGCUCCCCUCUCAGGUUUAUUCCUCACCGCUGUGGGAAGAGCUGUGUCUCUGGAUCCUCCCACGUGGGUGAGCAGGUCUCAAAUGAUGGGCCAUCUCCCAGCCUCUGAACCCCUCCUGCAGGAAACAGGCAAGUCCUGCAUUUCCAAUUCAUUCACAGCCAAACAGCCCACUAGAGCCCUUCCUGCCCCGGCACCACGACCUCCGCUGCAGCCUCCACUCAGUGGGGCCCGUGGCCGACAACUUGAUCUUCCCCCCACUGUAUCCCAUACUCUCCUCUGUCCAGGGCUGCUGCUCCCAUAAAUCAGAAGACUCAAGCCCCUCUCUGGGAGCAUAGCCCUCCUCCUCCUCGUGGGUCACACCUCCCUCUUACUCACCUUCGGUAGCCUCAGGGGAGGCCGACACUGGUCACCCAGGCAGUGUGGGGUUGACCUCUUCAGAAGUGGGGGGAGAGGCUGACAUCGGGGGUGCUGCUCUGGGAGAAAGAGGCCCACCUGCGGGGCUGGGUGCUGAGUGCCCCACCCACAUCUUCUCAUUAACUUGGGACAAACUAUCACCCUGGCCUGCCUCCCAGCUCCUGUCCUGUGUUUUCUUGAAUAGGUUUCCUCUGCCUUCUCUAAGGACUGGACACAUCCACUAUGACUUCAGAGGCCAGAAGAACGAGUCUGUAAUGAAAACAGCUCACUACCUGGAAGGGGAUGCCACACCUGGUUACUUGAAGGCCAGAGUGCCCCUGGUCACUGUCUCUAUGCCACACGCCUGGAUUCCUGGGCCUAGAGACAUAAGACAGGCCACCACCAGCAAGAGUGUCCAGCUAUCAACAGGUGUGGCUGGGAAUUCAUAUGUGCCACACCCCAGGGCUACCUGCCCCACUGGUGCCUCCCAGCUCCUGUCCUGUGUUUUCUUGAAUAGGUUUCCUCUGCCUUCUCUAAGGACUGGACACAUCCACUAUGACUUCAGAGGCCAGAAGAACGAGUCUGUAAUGAAAACAGCUCACUACCUGGUGAGCUCAUCUAGGUCCAAUUUUGGGGGGAGCACACCAGUGACCCGACCUGACCCUCCUCACGCCACCGGCCUUGCCCCCACAUUCCUUCUGCCCCAGGUCCCAGCACCUGUCCCUCCCUCCCCACCCCUUCCUGCAUCAUCCUCCUCACACUGUCUGCCUGUCUCCUGGUCUGCCCAACCCAUGUGA